Molecule: ribosomal RNA, 269 nt
Filed under: uncultured soil bacterium
Lineage: Bacteria
Description: partial 16S ribosomal RNA
Rfam family: Bacterial small subunit ribosomal RNA
Source: RNAcentral
AGAAUGAACGCUGGCGGCGUGCUUAACACAUGCAAGUCGAGCGAGGCCAGGGGGGCAACUCCCUGAGUCGAGCGGCGGACGGGUGAGUAACACGUGGGUAACCUACCCGGAAGUGGGGAAUACCUCGGGGAAACUCGAGCUAAUACCGCAUGACAUCUUUGGGACGAAAGUCCUGACGAUCAAAGCGGGGUCGCAAGAUCUCGCGCUACCGGAUGGGCCCGCGCCCGAUUAGCUAGUUGGUGAGGUAACGGCUCACCAAGGCAACAAUC